This 1338-nucleotide ribosomal RNA is filed under the name uncultured bacterium. RNAcentral describes it as "bacterial SSU rRNA". It matches the Rfam family "Bacterial small subunit ribosomal RNA", at positions 28 to 1381 of the family's 1533-position model. The record is from RNAcentral.
GACGAACGCUGGCGGCGUGCUUAACACAUGCAAGUCGAACGGAAAGGCCCUUCGGGGUACUCGAGUGGCGAACGGGUGAGUAACACGUGGGUGAUCUGCCCUGCACUUUGGGAUAAGCCUGGGAAACUGGGUCUAAUACCGAAUAGGACCACGCGCUUCAUGGUGUGUGGUGGAAAGCUUUUGCGGUGUGGGAUGGGCCCGCGGCCUAUCAGCUUGUUGGUGGGGUAAUGGCCUACCAAGGCGACGACGGGUAGCCGGCCUGAGAGGGUGACCGGCCACACUGGGACUGAGAUACGGCCCAGACUCCUACGGGAGGCAGCAGUGGGGAAUAUUGCACAAUGGGCGCGAGCCUGAUGCAGCGACGCCGCGUGAGGGAUGACGGCCUUCGGGUUGUAAACCUCUUUCAAUACGGACGAAGCGUGAGUGACGGCACCUAUAGAAGAAGCAGCGGCCAACUACGUGCCAGCAGUCCGUGGUAAUACGUAGGGUGCGAGCGUUGUCCGGAAUUACUGGGGCGAAAGAGCUCGUAGGUGGUUUGUCGCGUUGUUCGUGAAAACUCACAGCUUAACUGUGGGCGUGCGGGCGAUACGGGCAGACUAGAGUACUGCAGGGGAGACUGGAAUUCCUGGUGUAGCGGUGGAAUGCGCAGAUAUCAGGAGGAACACCGGUGGCGAAGGCGGGUCUCUGGGCAGUAACUGACGCUGAGGAGCGAAAGCGUGGGGAGCGAACAGGAUUAGAUACCCUGGUAGUCCACGCCGUAAACGGUGGGUACUAGGUGUGGGUUCCUUCCUUGGGAUCCGUGCCGUAGCUAACGCAUUAAGUACCCCGCCUGGGGAGUACGGCCGCAAGGCUAAAACUCAAAGGAAUUGACGGGGGCCCGCACAAGCGGCGGAGCAUGUGGAUUAAUUCGAUGCAACGCGAAGAACCUUACCUGGGUUUGACAUGCACAGGACGCCGGCAGAGAUGUCGGUUCCCUUGUGGCCUGUGUGCAGGUGGUGCAUGGCUGUCGUCAGCUCGUGUCGUGAGAUGUUGGGUUAAGUCCCGCAACGAGCGCAACCCUUGUCCUAUGUUGCCAGCGGGUUAUGCCGGGGACUCGUAGGAGACUGCCGGGGUCAACUCGGAGGAAGGUGGGGAUGACGUCAAGUCAUCAUGCCCCUUAUGUCCAGGGCUUCACACAUGCUACAAUGGCCGGUACAAGGGGCUGCGAUGCCGUGAGGUGGAGCGAAUCCUUUCAAAGCCGGUCUCAGUUCGGAUCGGGGUCUGCAACUCGACCCCGUGAAGUCGGAGUCGCUAGUAAUCGCAGAUCAGCAACGCUGCGGUGAAUACGUUCCCGGGCCU